CUCUCUUCAACUUUAUUGCAACAUUCAAAAGGUGGUUGACAGAUGAGGAAGAACAAAAUACAGCAGACUACCAACCAAGCAGUAAAUUGAUGGAGGAUUUUGACAAGAUUGGAAGGGAUGACAAGACCAGAUUUUCAUUUGCUAUGUAUUAAUUAGUUCUUGUACAACUUUAAUUUAUACCAGUUGGAGACUAAGCAUGCACUGAUCUCUGUAUAUGUUUAUUUCAUGUGAAUGAGAUGAGGGAAUUUGGCAA
Molecule: long non-coding RNA, 253 nt
Organism: Juglans microcarpa x Juglans regia
Lineage: Eukaryota; Viridiplantae; Streptophyta; Magnoliopsida; Fagales; Juglandaceae
Exons: 2
Source: RefSeq, a predicted model, not a curated record